GAUGAACGCUGGCGGCGUGCUUAACACAUGCAAGUCGAACGGUGAAGGCGGAGCUUGCUCUGCUGGAUCAGUGGCGAACGGGUGAGUAACACGUGAGCAAUCUGCCCAUGACUCUGGGAUAAGCGCUGGAAACGGCGUCUAAUACUGGAUACGAGCUGCGAAGGCAUCUUCAGCAGCUGGAAAGAAGUUCGGUCAGGGACGAGCUCGCGGCUUAUCAGCUUGUUGGGGAGGUAACGGCUCACCAAGGCGUCGACGGGUAGCCGGCCUGAGAGGGUGACCGGCCACCCUGGGACUGAGAGACGGCCCAGACUCCUACGGGAGGCAGCAGUGGGGAAUAUUGCACAAUGGGCGAAAGCCUGAUGCAGCAACGCCGCGUGUGGGACGACGGCCUUCGGGUUGUAAACCUCUUGUAGCAGGGAAGAAGCGAAAGUGACGGUACCUGAAGAAAAAGCGCCGGCUAACUACGUG
This 468-nucleotide ribosomal RNA is filed under the name uncultured bacterium. RNAcentral describes it as "partial 16S ribosomal RNA". It matches the Rfam family "Bacterial small subunit ribosomal RNA", at positions 28 to 507 of the family's 1533-position model. The record is from RNAcentral.